UACGGGGGGGGCAAGCGUUGUUCGGAAUUACUGGGCGUAAAGGGUGCGUAGGCGGCUCUCUAAGUUGGAUGUGAAAACUCUGGGCUCAACCCAGAGCCUGCAUCCAAAACUGGAGAGCUAGGGUUCUGGAGGGGAAAGCGGAAUUCCUGGUGUAGCGGUGAAAUGCGUAGAUAUUAGGAGGAACACCGGUGGCGAAGGCGGCUUUCUGGACAGAUACCGACGCUGAGGCACGAAAGCUAGGGGAGCAAACAGG
Molecule: ribosomal RNA, 253 nt
Filed under: uncultured bacterium
Lineage: Bacteria
Description: partial 16S ribosomal RNA
Rfam family: Bacterial small subunit ribosomal RNA
Source: RNAcentral